RNAcentral lists this ribosomal RNA (164 nucleotides) under Aceratium ledermannii. RNAcentral describes it as "5.8S ribosomal RNA". It matches the Rfam family "5.8S ribosomal RNA". From Rfam's summary of the family: 5.8S ribosomal RNA (5.8S rRNA) is a component of the large subunit of the eukaryotic ribosome. It is transcribed by RNA polymerase I as part of the 45S precursor that also contains 18S and 28S rRNA. Lineage: Eukaryota; Viridiplantae; Streptophyta; Magnoliopsida; Oxalidales; Elaeocarpaceae. The record is from RNAcentral.
AACGACUCUCGGCAACGGAUAUCUCGGCUCUCGCAUCGAUGAAGAACGUAGCGAAAUGCGAUACUUGGUGUGAAUUGCAGAAUCCCGUGAACCAUCGAGUCUUUGAACGCAAGUUGCGCCCCAAGCCGUUAGGCCGAGGGCACGUCUGCCUGGGUGUCACGCAU